GACGAACGCUGGCGGCGUGCUUAACACAUGCAAGUCGAACGGAAAGGCUCCAGCUUGCUGGAGUACUCGAGUGGCGAACGGGUGAGUAACACGUGGGUAAUCUGCCCUGCACUCUGGGAUAAGCCUGGGAAACUGGGUCUAAUACUGGAUGUGACCUUUCUCCUUAUGGGGUUUGGUGGAAAGUUUUUCGGUGUAGGAUGAGCCCGCGGCCUAUCAGCUUGUUGGUGGGGUGAUGGCCUACCAAGGCGACGACGGGUAGCCGGCCUGAGAGGGUGAUCGGCCACAUUGGGACUGAGAUACGGCCCAGACUCCUACGGGAGGCAGCAGUGGGGAAUAUUGCACAAUGGGCGGAAGCCUGAUGCAGCGACGCCGCGUGAGGGAUGACGGCCUUCGGGUUGUAAACCUCUUUCAGCAGGGACGAAGCGUAAGUGACGGUACCUGCAGAAGAAGCACCGGCUAACUAUGUG
RNAcentral lists this ribosomal RNA (467 nucleotides) under uncultured bacterium. RNAcentral's name for it is "partial 16S ribosomal RNA". It matches the Rfam family "Bacterial small subunit ribosomal RNA", at positions 28 to 507 of the family's 1533-position model. The record is from RNAcentral.